UCAGCCCGACUCCAUUAGCGCGUCCCCCCUUCCUGCCCGGCCCAGAGGCAGCGCCGAGCCCUAGCAGCGGCCGGGGACAUGUCCAACCAGGGGGCCCGGAGGAACGGGCCCGUCAAGCUGCGACUGACAGUACUAUGUGCAAAAAACUUGGUGAAAAAGGAUUUUUUCCGACUUCCUGAUCCAUUUGCUAAGGUGGUGGUCGACGGAUCUGGCCAAUGCCAUUCUACAGAUACUGUGAAGAAUACGCUUGAUCCAAAGUGGAAUCAGCAUUAUGACCUAUAUAUUGGGAAGUCAGAUUCAAUAACGAUCAGUGUAUGGAACCACAAGAAAAUCCAUAAAAAACAAGGAGCUGGUUUUCUGGGUUGUGUGAGACUUCUUUCAAAUGCAAUCAACCGCCUUAAAGACACUGGUUAUCAGAGGUUGGAUCUAUGCAAACUUGGGCCAAAUGACAAUGAUACAGUUAGAGGACAGAUAGUAGUAAGUCUUCAAUCCAGAGACCGAAUAGGCACAGGAGGACAAGUUGUGGAUUGCAGUCGUUUAUUUGACAAUGAUCUACCAGAUGGUUGGGAGGAGCGGAGAACUGCCUCUGGAAGGAUCCAGUAUUUAAAUCACAUUACACGGACAACUCAGUGGGAGCGACCAACACGACCAGCAUCUGAAUAUUCUAGCCCAGGCAGACCUCUGAGCUGCUUUGUGGAUGAGAACACACCAAUUACAGGAACAAAUGGUGCGACAUGUGGACAGUCAUCAGAUCCCAGAUUGGCAGAGAGAAGAGUCAGGUCUCAAAGGCAUAGGAAUUACAUGAGCAGAACACAUUUACAUACUCCUCCUGACCUGCCUGAGGGAUAUGAGCAAAGGACAACUCAGCAAGGUCAGGUCUAUUUCCUGCAUACUCAGACAGGUGUAAGCACAUGGCAUGACCCAAGAGUACCAAGGGAUCUUAGCAACAUCAAUUGUGAAGAGCUUGGUCCACUGCCUCCUGGAUGGGAGAUCCGUAAUACAGCAACAGGCAGAGUUUAUUUUGUCGACCAUAACAACAGAACGACACAGUUUACAGAUCCGCGGCUAUCUGCUAAUUUGCACUUAGUUUUAAAGGGCGUGGCCACUGUGAUGUCAUGGGGGGGCAGGUGCCGUCCCAUGGAAGAGAUCUGCCACCCCAGCCGUCAGAACCAACUUAAAGAUCAUCAGCAGCAACAGCAGGUAGUAUCAUUGUGCCAGCUUCCAGAUGAGGCAGAAUGUCUGACUGUGCCAAGGUAUAAGCGAGACCUAGUGCAGAAACUCAAGAUUCUGAGGCAAGAAUUGUCGCAGCACCAACCCCAAGCUGGCCACUGUCGUAUUGAAGUCUCCAGGGAAGAGAUUUUUGAGGAGUCUUACAGGCAAGUCAUGAAGAUGAGGCCAAAGGACCUGUGGAAGCGAUUAAUGAUAAAAUUUCGUGGAGAAGAAGGCCUUGAUUAUGGAGGGGUUGCCAGGGAAUGGCUUUAUCUGUUGUCUCAUGAAAUGUUGAAUCCAUAUUAUGGCCUCUUCCAGUAUUCACGAGAUGAUAUCUAUACGCUGCAAAUCAACCCAGACUCUGCAGUUAACCCGGAACACUUAUCAUAUUUCCAUUUUGUUGGACGGAUUAUGGGGAUGGCUGUGUUUCAUGGACAUUAUAUUGAUGGGGGCUUCACUUUGCCUUUCUAUAAGCAAUUGCUAGGAAAGCCAAUCACUCUCGAUGACAUGGAAUUGGUUGACCCAGAUCUUCAUAACAGUUUAGUCUGGAUACUAGAGAAUGAUAUUACAGGUGUCUUGGACCAUACGUUCUGUGUGGAACACAAUGCAUAUGGGGAAAUUAUUCAACAUGAACUGAAACCCAAUGGCAAAAGCAUCCCUGUCACAGAGGAAAAUAAAAAAGAAUAUGUCAGGCUUUAUGUAAACUGGCGGUUUUUACGAGGAAUUGAAGCUCAGUUUCUAGCACUGCAGAAGGGAUUUAAUGAAGUAAUCCCACAACAUCUGCUGAAGACAUUUGAUGAGAAGGAGCUAGAGCUCAUCAUUUGUGGACUUGGAAAGAUUGAUGUUAAUGACUGGAAGGCAAAUACUAGGUUAAAACACUGUACUCCAGACAGCAACAUUGUGAAAUGGUUCUGGAAAGCUGUGGAGCUCUUUGAUGAAGAGAGGAGAGCACGAUUGCUCCAGUUUGUGACCGGCUCAUCCAGAGUGCCUCUUCAGGGUUUUAAAGCAUUACAAGCUGUCUACAGUUCACUCCCUGGCCAGGAAAGCCAACAAGCAACUUCUUUGCGACUAUAACAGGUGUGAUGGAGACUCUUGUGAUGUUGACUUCUUCAUGGAAGGAGCCACAUGGUGGUGAGCAGGCCAGGAACAGAAAGAAUCUACCUCACUAUCCAGCUGCCUUUGGAACUCUGAUAGAAUCUCUACCUUUCAGCAGCAACAUUUCUAACUUUGUCAUCCAUGCUGCCGAAAGAAUCUGAGGCAGUCCGUUUAGGCCUGUUUGCGCUCUCAAGAUGGAGGAAAGCGUCUAAGAGAACACACUCCCCAAACAGAAAUAUUUUCUUUAUCGGUAGAAAGGCUGGAUUCCAACUGAGCAAAAACCUUGUGAUAUCAAUUGCCACUUCCAAAAGCCAGGGGUUCUGGAAAUAAACUAUCCCCACCCAGCCUUCUCACUCACACAGGGCCUGUGUAGUCUUUUGGGUUCCUAAGAUGGCAUAGAUCCCCUGCAGUACUAAGCUUUCAUUAAUGGGCGUUAGCACCUGUUAGCAGAAUUCAGUACUCCACUGAGUGCUAACACAUAUAGGAGGAGCUCUAUGCUAUGUUGCAUAUUUAAAUAGCAACAUGAAAAACUUAAGCAGAGGUGGCAGCCCCACGCUAAUUUAGGUGCUUUCUUUCCUAUGAUUAACACACUGUAUUACCCACUAGAUACUUGCCUUGUUUAAUGUUCUGCUAGUGACCCCUAUUACUGCCAUUGCUAGCUUAACCUGUGUGUUAAAUCCUUAACAUGAGCUAGAAUUUUGCAGCAUAUACUGUAUCCUAGUGUCUGGGAAGGGCCAUACAACCACCAGUGCCCAGUGUCGCCUUGACUACCACAGAAGUUGUACCACUUUAGCUAUAUUGGUAUAGUUAAAGUUGUACAACCCCUAUGGUCAAAUCUGCAGUAGAAGCAGUCUGUCAGUAUAGCUAUACCAGUGUACUAUACUGAUAAAAAUGCUGCUAACAUGGAUGCAGCUAGUACUGGCAAAGCUGUAGCUUUUAGUUGUAUAACUUAUUCCAUCAUCACCCUGAGUGUAGUAAGCUGUACCGGUAAAAGUGAAGUUCUUCAAGUUAUUGUCCCUAUGAGUGCAUUCGCCAUAGGAUGUGCAGGUGCUGGUGCACUCUUGAUUGUAGAUUUUAGUUAACCGUGUGCAUGGAUCCAUGUGUGUGCUCUAUACAUCUUUGUCCUCUGGUGCAAGGGUAUAUAGGGAGGGGUGGAUCCUCCAAGGCUCCAGUUCCUUCUCAACUGCCCUUGGCUUGAAACAAAGCAUAGCAGAGUUUUCUGUUAGCCUCUCCAUUAUUACCUUCUUAAGCUGAGGGAGGAUAGAUUGAAGUUCCUCCUGAUGGAGUGCUCCGCUGUCUGAGACCUGCAGGAUAUGACUCCCCUCCCUGGCACAACGGCCUUAGUCUGCACCAUCGUGGGACCUUAAUCUACUUCUCAAUGCCUUAAGGAGCCCAGCUGUUCACACCUCUGUCUGUCUUCAAGACUUUGUUCUUAGUAGCCAUAACUUUGGCCAGAAGGGUAGGGAAGUUAAGGGCACUCAUGGCUGACCCUUCCUACUUACAUUUUGCCAUGACAAGGUAACAUUUCACUCCCAUCCUCAUUUCCUGCCUAAGGUCUCUUAAGAAUUCCAUGUCACUUAGGACAUCUGACUACCAGUGUUUUACCCCAAGCCUCAUUCCUUGAGGGAGGAAGCUAGCCUCCAUACCUUGGAUGUAAGAAGGACCAUUGCCUUUUACCUAGAGGCAGAACAACACAUUUCAGGGUUUUCCCUCCAGGCUCUUGAACUCCUUUGCCAAGAGAAUGGACAGCCAAUUUCUGCUCAGACUAUGUAAAUGGGUUUCUGAUGCAUUCUAGCUUGUUACAAAGCUGCAGGAGUGCAUCCUCCUCCUAAGCAGACUGCUCAUUCCAACAGGCCCAGUCCACCUUUAUAGCCCUUCUUAAAGACGUACCCAUCAUGUAGGACUGCAGAGUAGCAACCUAGUCUUAUGUGCACAUGUUCUCUGGGCACUAUGCUAUUCAACCUGCUUCCAGGUCAGAGAGAACCUAGAGCCAGCACUGUCUUCAGAGCUGUGCUGAGAUCCGCCUCCAUGUCAAGACACUGCUUAGGAGUCUCCUACAGUGGAGCAGCCAUAGGGACAAUAACUCAAAGAAGGAGAGGUUACUUACCUGUACAGUAACUGGAAGUUGAGAUGUGUUGUCCCUAUGGGUGCUCCACCUCCUGCCUUUCUUCUCCUAUGCAGUGGAAUCUUCCUGUGCUUCCAGUCUGAGAAGGAACUGAAGCAGUGGUGGGUCCACCCUCCCUAUAUACUCUUACACCAGAUCACAAGGAUGUAUAGAGUGUAGGCACAGAUCCACAGGCAUUGCUAACUAAAAUUACUGAUCAAGAGUGCACAGGUGCAUGCACAUCCUAUGAUGGAGUAUCCAUGGGACACAACAUCUCUAAGAACUCCAGUUACUGUAAGGUGCUGCGGGGCCCAGGCUAUUUACAAUACACCAGAUUGAUGCCAGCACUAAUAACUUGCCGAAAGCUCAUACCUGCUUUAAUCGAAUAGACAUUCCUCCCUAUGAAAGCUAUGAGAA
RNA transcript from Mauremys reevesii (Reeves's turtle), 4825 nucleotides. It is a transcript of the gene named SMAD specific E3 ubiquitin protein ligase 2, with no coding region annotated. The record is from RefSeq and is a predicted model, not a curated record. The transcript is spliced from 21 exons. NCBI's taxonomy places the organism in Eukaryota, Metazoa, Chordata, Testudines, Geoemydidae.